AUUUAAAUAGUUUAUAUUAAAAUAUUGAUUUGUGGUAUCAAAGAAAAUUAAAUUAAUUUUUAAAUU
This 66-nucleotide transfer RNA is filed under the name Gilpinia baiyinaobaoa. RNAcentral's name for it is "tRNA-His". Lineage: Eukaryota; Metazoa; Arthropoda; Insecta; Hymenoptera; Diprionidae. The record is from RNAcentral.